UGGGGAAUUUUGGACAAUGGGCGAAAGCCUGAUCCAGCAAUGCCGCGUGUGUGAAGAAGGCCUUCGGGUUGUAAAGCACUUUUGUCCGGAAAGAAAUCCUUGGCUCUAAUACAGUCGGGGGAUGACGGUACCGGAAGAAUAAGCACCGGCUAACUACGUGCCAGCAGCCGCGGUAAUACGUAGGGUGCAAGCGUUAAUCGGAAUUACUGGGCGUAAAGCGUGCGCAGGCGGUUUGCUAAGACCGAUGUGAAAUCCCCGGGCUCAACCUGGGAACUGCAUUGGUGACUGGCAGGCUAGAGUAUGGCAGAGGGGGGUAGAAUUCCACGUGUAGCAGUGAAAUGCGUAGAGAUGUGGAGGAAUACCGAUGGCGAAGGCAGCCCCCUGGGCCAAUACUGACGCUCAUGCACGAAAGCGUGGGGAGCAAACAGGAUUAGAUACCCUGGUAGUCCACGCCCUAAACGAUGUCAACUAGUUGUUGGGGAUUCAUUUCCUUAGUAACGUAGCUAACGCGUGAAGUUGACCGCCUGGGGAGUACGGUCGCAAGAUUAAAACUUAAAUGAAUUG
Molecule: ribosomal RNA, 564 nt
Filed under: uncultured bacterium
Lineage: Bacteria
Description: partial 16S ribosomal RNA
Rfam family: Bacterial small subunit ribosomal RNA
Source: RNAcentral